GACGAACGCUGGCGGCGUGCUUAACACAUGCAAGUCGAACGGAAGGGCCCUGCUUUUGUGGGGUGCUCGAGUGGCGAACGGGUGAGUAACACGUGAGUAACCUGCCCUUGACUUUGGGGUAACUUCAGGAGACUGGGGCUAAUACCGGAUAGAAGCUCCUGCUGCAUGGUGGGGGUUGGAAAGUUUCGGCGGUUGGGGCUGGACUCGCGGCUUAUCAGCUUGUUGGUGGGGUAGUGGCUUACCAAGGCUUUGACGGGUAGCCGGCCUGAGAGGGUGACCGGCCACAUUGGGACUGAGAUACGGACCAGACGCCUACGGGAGGCAGUAGUGGGGAACAUUGCACAAUGGGCCGAAGCCUGAGGCAGCAACGUCGCGUGCGGGAUGACGGGUUUCGGGUGGUAAACAGCUGUCGCCGGUGACGAAGCGUGAGUGACGGUAACGGGUAAAGAAGCACCGGCUAACUACGUG
Molecule: ribosomal RNA, 468 nt
Filed under: uncultured bacterium
Lineage: Bacteria
Description: partial 16S ribosomal RNA
Rfam family: Bacterial small subunit ribosomal RNA
Source: RNAcentral